This 430-nucleotide ribosomal RNA is filed under the name uncultured Bacteroides sp. RNAcentral's name for it is "bacterial SSU rRNA". It matches the Rfam family "Bacterial small subunit ribosomal RNA", at positions 28 to 448 of the family's 1533-position model. Lineage: Bacteria; Pseudomonadati; Bacteroidota; Bacteroidia; Bacteroidales; Bacteroidaceae. The record is from RNAcentral.
GAUGAACGCUAGCUACAGGCUUAACACAUGCAAGUCGAGGGGCAGCAUGGUCUUAGCUUGCUAAGGCUGAUGGCGACCGGCGCACGGGUGAGUAACACGUAUCCAACCUGCCGUCUACUCUUGGACAGCCUUCUGAAAGGAAGAUUAAUACAAGAUGGCAUCAUGAGUCCGCAUGUUCACAUGAUUAAAGGUAUUCCGGUAGACGAUGGGGAUGCGUUCCAUUAGAUAGUAGGCGGGGUAACGGCCCACCUAGUCUUCGAUGGAUAGGGGUUCUGAGAGGAAGGUCCCCCACAUUGGAACUGAGACACGGUCCAAACUCCUACGGGAGGCAGCAGUGAGGAAUAUUGGUCAAUGGGCGAGAGCCUGAACCAGCCAAGUAGCGUGAAGGAUGACUGCCCUAUGGGUUGUAAACUUCUUUUAUAAAGGAAUA